This 927-nucleotide ribosomal RNA is filed under the name Escherichia coli. RNAcentral describes it as "partial 23S ribosomal RNA". It matches the Rfam family "Bacterial large subunit ribosomal RNA", at positions 224 to 1191 of the family's 2925-position model. Lineage: Bacteria; Pseudomonadati; Pseudomonadota; Gammaproteobacteria; Enterobacterales; Enterobacteriaceae. The record is from RNAcentral.
AUCAACCGAGAUUCCCCCAGUAGCGGCGAGCGAACGGGGAGGAGCCCAGAGCCUGAAUCAGUGUGUGUGUUAGUGGAAGCGUCUGGAAAGGCGCGCGAUACAGGGUGACAGCCCCGUACACAAAAAUGCACAUACUGUGAGCUCGAUGAGUAGGGCGGGACACGUGGUAUCCUGUCUGAAUAUGGGGGGACCAUCCUCCAAGGCUAAAUACUCCUGACUGACCGAUAGUGAACCAGUACCGUGAGGGAAAGGCGAAAAGAACCCCGGCGAGGGGAGUGAAAAAGAACCUGAAACCGUGUACGUACAAGCAGUGGGAGCCUCUUUUAUGGGGUGACUGCGUACCUUUUGUAUAAUGGGUCAGCGACUUAUAUUCUGUAGCAAGGUUAACCGAAUAGGGGAGCCGAAGGGAAACCGAGUCUUAACUGGGCGUUAAGUUGCAGGGUAUAGACCCGAAACCCGGUGAUCUAGCCAUGGGCAGGUUGAAGGUUGGGUAACACUAACUGGAGGACCGAACCGACUAAUGUUGAAAAAUUAGCGGAUGACUUGUGGCUGGGGGUGAAAGGCCAAUCAAACCGGGAGAUAGCUGGUUCUCCCCGAAAGCUAUUUAGGUAGCGCCUCGUGAAUUCAUCUCCGGGGGUAGAGCACUGUUUCGGCAAGGGGGUCAUCCCGACUUACCAACCCGAUGCAAACUGCGAAUACCGGAGAAUGUUAUCACGGGAGACACACGGCGGGUGCUAACGUCCGUCGUGAAGAGGGAAACAACCCAGACCGCCAGCUAAGGUCCCAAAGUCAUGGUUAAGUGGGAAACGAUGUGGGAAGGCCCAGACAGCCAGGAUGUUGGCUUAGAAGCAGCCAUCAUUUAAAGAAAGCGUAAUAGCUCACUGGUCGAGUCGGCCUGCGCGGAAGAUGUAACGGGGCUAAACCAUG